UGAAGCCAGAGAACUGAGAUCCAGGAUGGGGGGGGUGCAGGGGGCUCCAUCAGGACAGCCGACAGGAGCGGGUCCUGCAGAGCUAGAGGGAGACCCAGAAGCCCCCAUUCCCGUCCCCACGCUAAGAUCCUGGCUGGAGGGUCCUACUCUUUCCUUGAUCGGAGAAGGGGGGCCAGGGGACUGAAUCACGGCUGCCGGCGCGCUGGGAAAGGCCUGGAGACCGAUUCUGGGCUUCCGGAGAGCCCCAAGGCCCCCGCCAAGCCGAGCCCCUCCCCGGCCCGCGGCGGCCGCCUGAGCAUUUAAGGCUCCAGGUCCCUGCCUUGGCCGGCUUGGCAUUGCCUCUGGCUGGAGACUGAUGGAGAGAGAGGAGGGGUCAGCAAGGUUCCUGAGAACCGAUGCUGAGGUCGUUUGCCAGUCAUCUCUGCGUCAUCAAAAUACCACCCGGAGCCUUCUCUCAAGUCACCUGCCCAUCUCUGGCGUUUGCUGCCUCACGGUGCUCCUCCCCCACCCUGCAGAAAAGCUGCCCUGCCAGGCAACGGGCCUCCACCCCAAAUCCCGACCUCUGUUUGACCCUCGCACUGCAGGAGCCGCAGCAGAUGUGAUGCUGGGGUCUCU
Ailuropoda melanoleuca (giant panda) is the source of this 615-nucleotide long non-coding RNA. RefSeq lists it as uncharacterized. The transcript has 3 exons. The record is from RefSeq and is a predicted model, not a curated record. Lineage: Eukaryota; Metazoa; Chordata; Mammalia; Carnivora; Ursidae.